AUUUGCUCAUCAGCUGACAGUGACAAAUAACGUAAGUACAGGUGAAUUUUUCCUCGUCAAUCUAUCUGAAUAUCUUAGUCUGUUGUUCUAAUUAAUGCAAUGUUUCUUUUAGAUAAGUGAUAUGAACAGCAUUUCAAAUAAUCGAAAACAUUCUGCAGUUUUCAUCGAGGAAAUUCGAAUUUGUGUAUCGGCAAAUUAGUAAUUCUGUGAAAUUAUGAACAUAAACAAAUAAUGUUUCGUAUCAUCCGUUAAGAAUCAAGUAGUUUACAUUAUACUUUCAUAAGAAUUUACGUAUAUUCAAGUGCAAAUUAUAGGACUUUUGGGGUGUAAAAACGGAGGGGUGGGCUUUGUCCUGCUAAUUAUCGAUAUGCCGAUAGACUGUGCAUUAUAUUUUUACAAUAUUUCAAUAUUGAUCUUUUAUUUACUUUUCUUCUCUUAGUACUAGGUUGCAGUGACUAUGUUGUACUGAACAAUCAACAAAACUCCAGAUCCAUGGCGCAUUCAAUAUUUGAAAGUUGGUUAUAGAUCUACAGUAUCUCAGAUUGACACAUGCUGACUGGAGUCUUUGGCUAUGGGACCCAUUUUGCAGUAAUUAAGAAUGUGCAGGAGAAAGUGGUACACUUCAUUUCAGUCGCAUCUUUCGACAAGCGGAAAUCCAUGGUCUACCUGGAAUAAGUUUAUUUGGCAUAGACAACCUUUCUCCAAGGUCAAGGUCAAAGAUCAAAGGCCAGAACUGAUGUCAGCUGGAAAGACACCACAAUGGGUUAAAGAUCAAAGGCCAGAACUGAUGUCAACUGGAAAAAUACCACAUUGUGUAUUGGAUUUGCAAGAUAUUUAAUCAAUGCACCACUUUCAAGUUCAAAGUAUUAUCAAGGCCUACUCCAUGAAAUGCUGAAUAUUUCAUCAACCUUCAGUUAUACCAAUAUACAUACAGCUGAAUCCAGAAGAGGACAGUCUUAGUGGGUCAUACAGAAAAGGACUCAACAGGAAUAGUUUUUGAAUUUCAAGUUUAGAGUAAAUGAAGCCUUUACCAGUUGCAGAAGCUUAGACUAUCCUUUGAGAGUGUGUUUGGCCUACAGAGAUAUUGACAAUUGAUAUAAAAAAAAGAAACCUUUAUUGAUUUUUCCCAAAAAUUCAGCUCAGAUGAGCUGUUAAGCUCUAGAGAAUUUUUAGCUCACCUGAGUUGAAAAGUCCUAAGACCAUAAACUGAGAGCAAACUUAAAAUUCAAAAGGGAUAUAAUUAGCUAUACUUGUCAGAGACCAUAAGAGAUUAUGCGAUAUUAAGGCAUUCGUCGUCCAUCUGUCGAGCUGUCUGUCUGCCUAGCUGUCUGUCUGUCUGUCUGUAAACAAUUUUUCAAAAUGCUACUCCUCCUACAGUUUUAAUAUGAUUUCAAUAUAACUUGGCACACAGGUAGACUAUAUAAAGAUACAUAGUUUAGUGCAUCAGUUUUUUUUAUUUCGAUGAACAGUGUUGCCAUGGUUACUAAAAUAAAAAAUUCUGUGAAAUUUUCUUCAAAAUGCUACUCUUCCUACAAUUUUGGUCUGAUUUCAGUAUAACUUAGCACUUAAGUAGACUACACUAAGGUACAUAAUUUAGUGCAUCAAUUUUUGAUUUCGAUGAACAGUGUUGCCAUGGUUACUAAAAAUCAAAAUUUGUGUGAAAUUCCUUAAAACGAAAUCCUUCAAUUUUGGUUUGAUUUCAAUAUAAUUUGGCACACAAUAUGCACUAUUACACUACACAAAGAUACAUAAUUCUAUUUAUUUUUGCCUGUUGAAAAGUCAAAUCCAAGUGCCACUUUUCCUUUUAUACACAUACAGACCAGUAGAGCUACAGUCUCAUCAGAGACUUCUGGAUUUUGAAAAAAAUUGAUAACAAAGCAGAAUUUUUACCAUAUGUAUACAAACAUGCACAGUUUUUAAAAUGAAUAUGUCAUAAAUAAAAAGUUAUUCAAAAUUGAAAUUUUGGCUUGUCUGUACUGGUCUCCAGGCAUGAAGUGAGCUUUUCUGAUCAACUGUUGUUCGUUCAUCUCUCCAUUCCUCUGUAUGUAAACUUUUCACAUUUUCAACUUCAUCUCAACAGAACCAGUGGGCUAAUUUUAACCAAACGUAUACAAAACAUCCUUGUGUAAAAUGAAGUUAAAGAUUUGUUAAACUGAAGGGCCAAGUACCCUUAUAAGUUAUAGGGAGAAAUUGUCAAAAAAAAAAAAAAACAAACAAACAAACAAAAAUUGGGUGGGAUCAUAAAAAAAAACCUUUUCAAGAACCACUAAGCCAGAAAAGCUGAAACUUGUUUGAAAGUACUCUUGUGAAAUAAUGAAUUUUGGGAAAAGUGCAGGGCCACUAUGGGUAUACUCUGGUGUGGAAAUCUGGUAAAGAACAGCAUGGCCAAAGUACACAGAUGAGUGAUGUGGCCUUGGGCCUCUUGUUCUGAUUGAUAUCCAUUGUUAGUCUGUUUCACUAUUUAGAACCACUGUUUGAUAUAAAACGCUGUUAAUUUUAGCGAUGUUGAGCUUUAGUGAUCUCAGCAUCCCUGACGAUAAUUCCACAACUAAAUACCCGAUACAGAUUUUGCUUAUACGGUAUAACAUAUAUGUAUGAAUAAAUUCUGAAUUCUUCAUAUCAUGGAAACCAGGUGUAGCAUGUCCAUAGAAGGGGAUAAAACUUUUACAUGGGAAGGCGGAGAAUUUUUUUUAAGAUCAAAGGGGCCAGUAUUUAAAGUCUUUUUGAAAAAAAAAAACAGAUUUUCAUCGAAAUAUGCGCCCAGAGGAUGAUGAGGCUAAAAAAAAAUAAGUCAGUUUUCAGAGGAUUAAUUCUUCAAGCAUCCCAAGGGUAGAGCAAAUACAGUAAAACUCGUUUAGUAUGAACACGGAUAUUGCAAAUUCACUGAUAUAGCGAAGUCAUCUUGGAUCCCCAGCUGUAUACAUUUCCUGAGUGUCAUAUACAGUUAUAACGAAUUAAGGAUAUAGCGAAGUAGUUUCAUAAUUCCCAGUGACUUCGUUAUAACUGAGUUUUGCUGUAUCUAUGAGGACACAUUUGGUAAUGAAGUAAUAUCAAAUUUUCGUACAAGAAUGAAAAAAAGAUACCAAUAAUACCCCAGUAUAUAUAUAUUUUUUCUGAAGAAACUCAUGUGAGCUUUGUGGCCCAUGACAUGUGCCUUUUCAGGGUUUUUUUUAAAUGUAAAUGUGAAAUGUAUAUCAAAUCAUUUUGUUUUCUUGGCAUAAAUAAUGUAAAUUAAAAAAUAUUUUACCAGUAUUUUUCUCUCAUUAUUUUUGUUUAGCUCUUUUGAGCUAAGUCUGUGGCCAUUUGUGCAGUGUGCAUAAACUUCUGAAAUAAGGGCCAUAUCUCAAGGAACACUAUAUUGUCAAAUUUGGCACAACAUGCACAGAUCUAAAGGGGUCUCUGGAAAUAUAUACUAAACCAAGUAAAAGUGAACUUUGACCCCCACCCCCUAGAAAUCACGAAUCACUACUCGAAAACAGAUCUACGAGAAAUUGGAAUACUAAUCACUGAUAUGAAGUUAUAAAAGUCAAAUAUGAAUGCCCUGUCAUAUUUCAUUCAAAAGUAAUCAUCAAGGUUGAUAAUUUGAAAAUAAGGUCAAUCUUGAAGGUCAUGUUGUCAGAAAUCAUAGCAUGUUCAAAAAUACAUUGUCACAAGUAGUGCCCAUGUCAAAUAUGAAAUCCCUAUCUCCUGUCGAUCAAACGAUAAGGAGAAGUAGGUCAAGGUCACAAGAUCAAAAAUCAUAUUGUAUUUAGAAAGUUUGUGAAAAGUAGGUCAAACUUCAAGGUCACAAAUCAUAAUGUAUUUAGAAAGGUUUUGUCACAGGUAAUAGACUGACAAACCAAUGAGAUUUAAUGUUCCUUCGCUUUUGCGAAAGCAGUGGACAAUACAAUAAAAGAACAAUAUAAAAAAACAGUUUUGAUAUCCCUUUUAACAAUCAUAUGAUGGGUGUAUAUUUUGUUUAAUGUUCCUUUUGAGAACUUUUCACUUAUAUGGAGAUGCCACCAGUUGCCAGUGGAGAGCUGCAAAUUUUGUACUAUACUGGGCACACAGGGCCAUUGAGCAAGGAGGGAUCUUUUUCAUGCCAGCACCUACUGCGACACGGGACCUCAGUUAAUGCAUAAGGUCUCUUCCUAAGGAAUGGCACAGCAUAUGAAAACUAACUAUUAAUGCAAUAAGAAAUUUUGUAUUUGACUGGUACAUGAAGGUGACAAAAGAAUUUUUGAAAAGAUUGAAUAAACUGAGUUAAAUGAACAAUAAAUUACAUGUAACUUCAAAGGACACUUGAAAGGUCAAGGUAA
Molecule: long non-coding RNA, 4298 nt
Organism: Saccostrea cuccullata (small rock oyster)
Lineage: Eukaryota; Metazoa; Mollusca; Bivalvia; Ostreida; Ostreidae
Exons: 6
Source: RefSeq, a predicted model, not a curated record